AGGACGAACGCUGGCGGCGUGCUUAACACAUGCAAGUCGAACGGUAAGGCCCCUUCGGGGGUACACGAGUGGCGAACGGGUGAGUAACACGUGAGCAACCUGCCCUUGACAUUGGAAUAACAGUUGGAAACAGCUGCUAAUACCGGGUAUGACCUUUCAUCGCAUGGUGGGGGGUGGAAAGCCUUGGCGGUCAAGGAUGGGCUCGCGGCCUAUCAGCUAGUUGGUGAGGUAAUGGCUCACCAAGGCUUCGACGGGUAGCCGGCCUGAGAGGGCGACCGGCCACACUGGGACUGAGAUACGGCCCAGACUCCUACGGGAGGCAGCAGUGGGGAAUAUUGCACAAUGGGCGGAAGCCUGAUGCAGCAACGCCGCGUGCGGGAUGACGGCCUUCGGGUUGUAACCGCUUCAGUAGGGACGAAGCUAACGUGACGGUACCUACAGAAGAAGCCCCGGCUAACUACGUGCCAGCAGCCGC
Molecule: ribosomal RNA, 475 nt
Filed under: uncultured bacterium
Lineage: Bacteria
Description: SSU rRNA
Rfam family: Bacterial small subunit ribosomal RNA
Source: RNAcentral